RNAcentral lists this small RNA (440 nucleotides) under Arabidopsis thaliana (thale cress). RNAcentral's name for it is "ATSL100370". Lineage: Eukaryota; Viridiplantae; Streptophyta; Magnoliopsida; Brassicales; Brassicaceae. The record is from RNAcentral.
AUUUAAUUUUAGCCCAGAAAAUUGGUGGGAAAUUUGCAAAAUUAUCCUUUUUUUACUACCCUUUUGCAACAAUACCCUUUUAUAUUGUUCAUUUUUUAAAAUAUCCCUUCCCUUGAACAGAACGACCAAAUUACCCUCAUCUAAUAAGAACAUGUAAUUGGAAACUGAAAGUUUUCCGCCAAAUUUUUGGCGCCAAAAUUUAUUUUUCCCGCCAAAAAAAAAUUUCCGCCAAACUUUUUUUCCCGCCAAAAAAAAAAAUUCUCGCCAAAAAAAAUUUCCCGCCAAAUUUUUUUCUCGUAAAUGUUUUUUCCCAGGCAAAAAAAUGCUUUUAAAAAUCCUUGAAAUUUUUUAAAAAACUCUUUUAAAAAACCUUGUAAAGUUUUUAAAAAGCUUUGGUAGUUGCUAAAAACUCUUGUAAAUCAUUUUAAAACCUCUUAAAA